UUAAUCCUCUGACCUGGACACCAACUGUGAUUUUCAUCUCUUUUUUAUCGCUCUUUCAGGAAGGUCCAGCAGCUUGCAUAUCUGCAUCUUCUUUUGGAGAGAAGAUAGGCGAGAGAAAACAUGCCAUGUCUGCAAACGGAGUCCCUGCCCUCUUUGCCUGCUGAAGGGAGGUAUGCAGUUUCCUCAGGCCGUAGGGGGUCUCAAGGGUCCAGAUCUAAGUCGGGUAAAAAGGGGAAGAAUGGAGAGAAGGGUUCACAGUGUGUCAUCACCAGUGCUUGGAUGGUUCUUCUCCCCUCUCUGGACCCCAGGGGCCAAAACCCAGAGACUGGGAUUCAGGAUGGGAAAGGAAAGUGAGAAAGUGAAGGCAUGGCUGGAUGAUCAUUCGGAUUCUGCCAGGUCUUACUUUAGCAGAUCCUCAAGGAUCUGAGAUUUCAGAUUGAACCGUAUGAGAGGGAAGAGGACAGACCCAAGAGUAUUCUCAGUGUGCCCAUCCUGAACCACAAAAAUGAGGACUGGUCCAUUGCAUUUUGGCAGGUUAUAGGUGCUGUCAUGGCUGUGAACAAAAGCAGGCCAAGCACAUGUGCAGGGAGCUUUUUCUCAGAACAAGAUGAGAAAAUGCUGUCGUCACACAUGGUGUUGUUCGGACUGAUCCUGGAAAAUUGUCAGCUGUGUGAGAGUUCUGAACAAGAGAGCAAACGCAACCAGAUGUCACACAGACUUUACUUUUACUUAGUUAGGCACUUUUAUCUAAAAUUAUUCAUCUGUUAAGGAUACAUAACAUGCUAAUCACAAAGAACUUUUUUUCUAGCUUGAAAUAAGAUAUUUUGGCAAUAUACUGUUACA
Sinocyclocheilus grahami is the source of this 843-nucleotide long non-coding RNA. RefSeq lists it as uncharacterized. The record is from RefSeq and is a predicted model, not a curated record. NCBI's taxonomy places the organism in Eukaryota, Metazoa, Chordata, Actinopteri, Cypriniformes, Cyprinidae. The transcript has 4 exons.